Molecule: long non-coding RNA, 614 nt
Organism: Coregonus clupeaformis (lake whitefish)
Lineage: Eukaryota; Metazoa; Chordata; Actinopteri; Salmoniformes; Salmonidae
Exons: 2
Source: RefSeq, a predicted model, not a curated record
ACUAACUGUAAGUCGCUCUGGAUAAGAGCAUCUGCUAAAUGACAAAAAUGUUAAUAUAAAUAUUAAUACAGGAACGAGGCUAAGAGUAGAACAGGUUAUUACAGGAACGAGGCUAAGAGUAGAACUGGUUAUUACAGGAACAAGGCUAGGAGUAGAACAGGUUAUUACAGGAACAAGGCUAGGAGUAGAACAUGUUAUUACAGGAACAAGGCUAGGAGUAGAACAGGUUACUACACGAACAAGGCUAGGAGUAGAACAGGUUAUUACAGGAACAAGGCUAGGAGUAGAACAGGUUAUUACAGGAACAAGGCUAGGAGUAGAACAGGUUAUUACAGGAACGAGGCUAGGAGUAGAACAGGUUAUUACAGGAACAAGGCUAGGAGUAGAACAGGUUAUUACAGGAACAAGGCUAGGAGUAGAACAGGUUACUAAAGGAACAAGGCUAGGAGUAGAACAGGUUACUACAGGAACAAGGCUAGGAGUAGAACAGGUUAUAACAGAAACAAGGCUAGGAGUAGAACAGGUUAUUACAGGAACGAGGCUAGGAGUAGAACAGGUUACUACAGGAACGAGGCUAGGAGUAGAACAGGUUAUUACAGGAACAAGGCUAGGAG